AGAUUUGGAGAUAUCAAAAUUUCUGGCUAUCCUCAGAGGUGCUGCAGACACCCAAUGACCACUGAAUUCAGAAGUAUUUAUCUCUGGAUGAUCAGCUGGUAGCUGCUUGUUAUUUUGAACACAUGCUAUCCCGAUGUGCUAGCUGCACGCAUCCCCCUCUGGUUCUACUGGAAGAAAUGCAGAACUUUUACAUGUGUGUCAGCUUUACGUUACUUUUGAUGGUAAAGGUAACUCCCCUUCAGUUUCCCAUACCUUCAGAGUCACUCCAGAGUACUGCUCCAGUUGUACGGCCAUGUAGAAGCCUUGUGACCAGAACAAAUUCUCAUCUGACUUAAUAAUGAGGGGAGGAAACACUGUUCAUAUUAUUACUCGUGUUUGGCAGAAAGUUUUUCCAUACAGUAUGGUAAGUACUUUAAAGGCCCCAUCAAGACAGUAGUAGAGCUGG
Cygnus olor (mute swan) is the source of this 445-nucleotide long non-coding RNA. RefSeq lists it as uncharacterized. NCBI's taxonomy places the organism in Eukaryota, Metazoa, Chordata, Aves, Anseriformes, Anatidae. The transcript is spliced from 3 exons. The record is from RefSeq and is a predicted model, not a curated record.